AGAGGUGGCGAGCGUUGUUCGGAAUUACUGGGCGUAAAGGGCGCGUAGGGGCCUUCUAAGUCGGACGUGAAAGCCCCAGGCUUAACCUGGGAACUGCGUCCGAUACUGGGAGGCUUGGAUUCGGGAGAGGGAUGUGGAAUUCCAGGUGUAGCGGUGAAAUGCGUAGAUAUCUGGAGGAACACCGGUGGCGAAGGCGGCAUCCUGGACCGAGAUCGACGCUGAGGCGCGAAAGCUAGGGGAGCAAACGGGAUUAGAUACCCCGGUAGUCCUAGCCCUAAACGAUGAAUGCUUGGUGUGGCGGGUAUCGAUCCCUGCCGUGCCGAAGCUAACGCAUUAAGCAUUCCGCCUGGGGAGUACGGUCGCAAGGCUG
Molecule: ribosomal RNA, 370 nt
Filed under: uncultured bacterium
Lineage: Bacteria
Description: bacterial SSU rRNA
Rfam family: Bacterial small subunit ribosomal RNA
Source: RNAcentral